RNAcentral lists this ribosomal RNA (254 nucleotides) under uncultured bacterium. Its description in RNAcentral is "partial 16S ribosomal RNA". It matches the Rfam family "Bacterial small subunit ribosomal RNA", at positions 524 to 776 of the family's 1533-position model. The record is from RNAcentral.
UACGGGGGGAGCAAGCGUUGUUCGGAUUUACUGGGCGUAAAGGGCGCGUAGGCGGCCAGCACAAGUCAGUUGUGAAAUCUCCGAGCUUAACUCGGAAAGGUCAACUGAUACUGUGCGGCUAGAGUGCGGAAGGGGCAACUGGAAUUCUUGGUGUAGCGGUGAAAUGCGUAGAUAUCAAGAGGAACACCUGCGGCGAAGGCGGGUUGCUGGGCCGACACUGACGCUGAUGCGCGAAAGCCAGGGGAGCAAACGGG